Molecule: ribosomal RNA, 372 nt
Filed under: uncultured organism
Description: bacterial SSU rRNA
Rfam family: Bacterial small subunit ribosomal RNA
Source: RNAcentral
CGUAGGUGGCAAGCGUUGUCCGGAAUUAUUGGGCGUAAAGGGCGCGUAGGCGGUACCUUAAGUCAGGUGUGAAAACCCGAGGCUUAACUUCGGAGGUGCAUUUGAAACUGGGGAACUAGAGUGCAGGAGAGGUAAGUGGAAUUCCUAGUGUAGCGGUGAAAUGCGUAGAUAUUAGGAGGAACACCAGUGGCGAAGGCGACUUACUGGACUGUAACUGACGCUGAGGCGCGAAAGCGUGGGGAGCAAACAGGAUUAGAUACCCUGGUAGUCCACGCUGUAAACGAUGGAUACUAGGUGUGGGAGGUAUCGACCCCUUCCGUGCCGCAGUAAACGCAAUAAGUAUCCCGCCUGGGGAGUACGGCCGCAAGGUUG